CCAGAAGCACCGAAGGUUUCUGCUGAGCCGCGCGACGGGGGGACAUCAAAGGAAGAGGAGCGAGGCACCCAGCUGUCUGUCAAGAUGAAGGACGUGUGUCACUUGGUGGAGGACUGGGAGUGCCAGCAGCUACAGGAGCCGGUCCAGCUGGAGGAGCUGCCCAUCGACCCGGCCCCCUACCGCCUGCUGGAGAAGGAGACCCUC
Non-coding RNA from Chelonoidis abingdonii (Abingdon island giant tortoise), 204 nucleotides. The record is from RefSeq and is a predicted model, not a curated record. NCBI's taxonomy places the organism in Eukaryota, Metazoa, Chordata, Testudines, Testudinidae.